AUACGGAGGGAGCGAGCGUUAAUCGGAAUUACUGGGCGUAAAGCGCGCGUAGGCGGCUUUGUAAGUCGGAUGUGAAAGCCCCAGGCUCAACCUGGGAACUGCGCUUGAUACUGGUAGACUAGAGGCCGGGAGAGGGUAGUGGAAUUCCCAGUGUAGAGGUGAAAUUCGUAGAUAUUGGGAGGAACAUCAGUGGCGAAGGCGACUUCCUGGACUAACAUUGACGCUGAGGUGCGAAAGCGUGGGGAGCAAACAGGAUUAGAAACCCCAGUAGUCC
Molecule: ribosomal RNA, 274 nt
Filed under: uncultured bacterium
Lineage: Bacteria
Description: partial 16S ribosomal RNA
Rfam family: Bacterial small subunit ribosomal RNA
Source: RNAcentral